This 507-nucleotide ribosomal RNA is filed under the name uncultured bacterium. RNAcentral describes it as "bacterial SSU rRNA". It matches the Rfam family "Bacterial small subunit ribosomal RNA", at positions 45 to 532 of the family's 1533-position model. The record is from RNAcentral.
CGGCCUAACACAUGCAAGUCGAGCGAGAAGGAAGCAAUUCCUGUAAAGCGGCGCACGGGUGAGUAACACGUAGGUAAUCUACCUCGAAGUGGUGGAUAACCUUCCGAAAGGAGGGCUAAUACAGCAUGAGACCACGGUUUCGAAAGAGAUUGAGGUCAAAGCGGGCCACUAUACAUAAGCUCGCGCUUCGAGAUGAGCCUGCGGCCCAUCAUGGUAGUUGGUAGGGUAAUGGCCUACCAAGCCGAAGACGGGUAGCUGGUCUGAGAGGAUGAUCAGCCACACUGGAACUGAGACACGGUCCAGACUCCUACGGGAGGCAGCAGUGGGGAAUCUUGCGCAAUGGGCGAAAGCCUGACGCAGCGACGCCGCGUGAGUGAUGAAGGCCUUCGGGUUGUAAAGCUCUGUGGAGGGGGACGAAUAAGGGUUGGCUAACAUCCAGCUCGAUGACGGUACCCCUUUAGCAAGCACCGGCUAACUCUGUGCCAGCAGCCGCGGUAAGACAGAGGG